GACGAACGCUGGCGGCGUGCUUAACACAUGCAAGUCGAACGGAAAGGCCCUGCUUUUGUGGGGUGCUCGAGUGGCGAACGGGUGAGUAACACGUGAGUAACCUUCCCUUGACUUUGGGAUAACUUCAGGAAACUGGGGCUAAUACCGGAUCGGAGCUCCUGCUGCAUGGUGGGGGUUGGAAAGUUUCGGCGGUUGGGGAUGGACUCGCGGCUUAUCAGCUUGUUGGUGGGGUAGUGGCUUACCAAGGCUUUGACGGGUAGCCGGCCUGAGAGGGUGACCGGGCCAAAGGGGAAUGAGGAAAGGGCCAGAAUCCUAAGGGGGGGAGGAGGGGGGAAAAUUGCAAAAAGGGGGGGAGGCCGAUGGAGGCAAGGCGGGGGGGGGAAGGAGGGCUUCGGGGUGGAAACCGCUUUCGGCUGGGAAGGAGGGGGAGGGAAGGGAAAGGGGAAAGAAGCAACGGCUAACUAAGGU
RNAcentral lists this ribosomal RNA (468 nucleotides) under uncultured bacterium. RNAcentral's name for it is "partial 16S ribosomal RNA". It matches the Rfam family "Bacterial small subunit ribosomal RNA", at positions 28 to 507 of the family's 1533-position model. The record is from RNAcentral.